Molecule: non-coding RNA, 27 nt
Filed under: Rattus norvegicus (Norway rat)
Lineage: Eukaryota; Metazoa; Chordata; Mammalia; Rodentia; Muridae
Source: RNAcentral
UGUGAGAAGCAAAAAAGAGAUCUGCCC